CCACCAUUCAAACUUUAAAACGAAGACAAGACAUUCAACUAUUCAACUUGUAUUUAUCUUUUCAAUAUCUAUUAUACUUUUUCUUCAGUUCCAGUUUAAGUUUCAUGAUGUUUUUUCACCCGUUUCAGAGUUUAUAAUGGGUGUGUAUGGGACGGAAUGUUGGGGCUAGAGUGAGGCAGCUCAACUGCUAGAGUGAGAGGAGCAAAAAAAUUUAUCUUAAAAUCUUUUUUAAAACUGCUGCUGUGUCCGCAGCGUUUGCUCUACAGGUAUGAUUUUACCCUCAAAACGUAGCCAUGGCUGUCCUCUUUCAUCCAAUGUGUUUACUAUUGUCCUAGGUGUUACGGUUCUCUCAUAAAUGUCACCAAUGCACAGCCUCCUCCUUCCAACUCUUCCAUAGACUCUAAUGUUAAAAUGGCUCAGAAGGUUCGUUUGAAAAUCAGAAGAGCAUGGUGUCUUUCCACUGUCACCACGUCCAUAUAAUAAACUCCACAGACAUGAAAACUGAGAAUUAGGUAGACUAGACAUUGCUGUCGCUCACGGUGAAAGAAUUUUGUCAAUACGACUUUUACUUUUCAUUUGGGAGCGAUUUGUUUCGGCCUGACUCUUCUGUUCAUUUUAAGCAGCAAAAGUGAGGUGCAUGUCUGUGUACGUGUGUAUGGAGCCCUUGGGUGCAGUCACUAUAGCAACCAGGCUCACACCUGCCUGCUUAACGAGCUCUCUCUCUCACUCUGCCAAGAUUCAUCUUAAACACUUCUCUUUCAACUGCUGCUGUGUCCACAGUGUUACAGCCAUCAUUUUACCCUCAAAACGUCGCCAUCGUUGUUCUUUUUCCAACAUCUUGUCUUUCAAAGCUCAGAGAUGUAAACUUUUUAAACUGUGUGGGUCCAAGUGGAGGGAUCACAUUUUAGUCAUUCAGUGAUUCAAAGAAUAUGACCUUUUAAUAUUCUUUCAGAUGUUUUCUGACUCUAAAUGUUCUUUUCUCAUUUCUUAGGUUUUUCUAAUUUACAAUUAAAACAUUUUCAGCUUUUUUCCAACUUCUUCUUCUGUGUAACCUUCAGCUUUUAGCAGUUCAGCACUGUUGUUUUCAGGUUAAAUUCAGGUUGUUUUUUUUGUUUUUUUAUCUCAUUCAAAAUUUUUAACUCAAAAUUCAGCAAUUAAUUCAUUUCAGUCCAUACAUUCAGAUUCAAGCAUUCACACUGCAGUUUCUUCAGAAAAUGCACUUUCUAGUUAGUUUUUGUCCUUAUAAUUACUGUUGUUAUUGAUAAUUGUUAAUUUGAUUAUUAAUAAAAGUUGAACAGAGUUUUCAAGACUAAUUCACAAGAGCAAUUCAUUUCCUUUAUCAUUUUGUUCUCUAAUUAAAUUGAAGGUGGCAUCCAUAUUUUAAUAAC
Astatotilapia calliptera (eastern happy) is the source of this 1388-nucleotide long non-coding RNA. NCBI's taxonomy places the organism in Eukaryota, Metazoa, Chordata, Actinopteri, Cichliformes, Cichlidae. The record is from Ensembl.